GGUUGCUAGUAAAAUUUACAUUUCAGGUACCACAAACCUGUAUUUUUUUUAAAUUAUAGCAAC
Molecule: transfer RNA, 63 nt
Filed under: Daphnia magna
Lineage: Eukaryota; Metazoa; Arthropoda; Branchiopoda; Diplostraca; Daphniidae
Description: tRNA-His
Source: RNAcentral